AGUGAACGCUGGCGGCAGGCCUAACACAUGCAAGUCGAACGGCAGCACAAGAGAGCUUGCUCUCUGGGUGGCGAGUGGCGGACGGGUGAGGAAUGCAUCGGAAUCUGCCCAUUUGUGGGGGAUAACCUCGGGAAACCGGGACUAAUACCGCAUACGACCUACGGGUGAAAGCAGGGGAUCUUCGGACCUUGCGCAGAUGGAUGAGCCGAUGCCGGAUUAGCUAGUUGGAGGGGUAAAGGCCCACCAAGGCGACGAUCCGUAGCUGGUCUGAGAGGAUGAUAAGCCACACUGGGACUGAGACACGGCCCAGACUCCUACGGGAGGCAGCAGUGGGGAAUAUUGGACAAUGGGCGCAAGCCUGAUCCAGCCAUGCCGCGUGUGUGAAGAAGGCCUUCGGGUUGUAAAGCACUUUUGUUGGGAAAGAAAAGCAGCCGGUUAAUACCCGGUUGUCAUGACGGUACCCAAAGAAUAAGCACCGGCUAACUUCGUG
RNAcentral lists this ribosomal RNA (490 nucleotides) under uncultured bacterium. RNAcentral's name for it is "partial 16S ribosomal RNA". It matches the Rfam family "Bacterial small subunit ribosomal RNA", at positions 29 to 507 of the family's 1533-position model. The record is from RNAcentral.